RNAcentral lists this ribosomal RNA (499 nucleotides) under uncultured bacterium. RNAcentral describes it as "partial 16S ribosomal RNA". It matches the Rfam family "Bacterial small subunit ribosomal RNA", at positions 28 to 506 of the family's 1533-position model. The record is from RNAcentral.
GACGAACGCUGGCGGCGUGCCUAAUACAUGCAAGUCGAGCGGACUGAUUAAGAGCUUGCUCUUAUGACGUUAGCGGCGGACGGGUGAGUAACACGUGGGCAACCUGCCCUGUAGAUCGGGAUAACACCGAGAAAUCGGUGCUAAUACCGGGUAAUAUCUGAGAUCACAUGAUCUUAGGUUAAAAGAUGGCUCCGGCUAUCACUACAGGAUGGGCCCGCGGCGCAUUAGCUAGUUGGUAAGGUAAUGGCUUACCAAGGCGACGAUGCGUAGCCGACCUGAGAGGGUGAUCGGCCACACUGGGACUGAGACACGGCCCAGACUCCUACGGGAGGCAGCAGUAGGGAAUCUUCCGCAAUGGACGAAAGUCUGACGGAGCAACGCCGCGUGAGUGAUGAAGGGUUUCGGCUCGUAAAGCUCUGUUGUUAGGGAAGAAACAGUACCGAACGAACUAGGUCGGUACCUUGACGGUACCUAACCAGAAAGCCACGGCGAACUACGU